UACGUAGGGGGCGAGCGUUGUCCGGAAUUAUUGGGCGUAAAGAGCUCGUAGGCGGCUUGUCGCGUCGAUUGUGAAAGCUCGGGGCUUAACCCCGGGUCUGCAGUCGAUACGGGCAGGCUAGAGUUCGGUAGGGGAGACUGGAAUUCCUGGUGUAGCGGUGAAAUGCGCAGAUAUCAGGAGGAACACCGGUGGCGAAGGCGGGUCUCUGGGCCGAUACUGACGCUGAGGAGCGAAAGCGUGGGGAGCGAACAGG
This 253-nucleotide ribosomal RNA is filed under the name uncultured bacterium. RNAcentral describes it as "partial 16S ribosomal RNA". It matches the Rfam family "Bacterial small subunit ribosomal RNA", at positions 524 to 776 of the family's 1533-position model. The record is from RNAcentral.